Glycine soja is the source of this 97-nucleotide non-coding RNA. The record is from Rfam. NCBI's taxonomy places the organism in Eukaryota, Viridiplantae, Streptophyta, Magnoliopsida, Fabales, Fabaceae.
GUUGAGGGGAAUGUUGGCUGGCUCGAGGCUUUUUCUCAAAGGAGGUUCUCACUGGCAAGAACUAUAAGGCUUCGGACCAGGCUUCAUUCCCCUCAAA